RNAcentral lists this transfer RNA (27 nucleotides) under Scomberomorus niphonius (Japanese Spanish mackerel). Its description in RNAcentral is "partial tRNA-Pro". The record is from RNAcentral. Lineage: Eukaryota; Metazoa; Chordata; Actinopteri; Scombriformes; Scombridae.
CAACGAGUAGCUUAAUUUAGAAUCCUA